UGAGCAAUCUGCCCUUCUCUUCGGAAUAAGCGUUGGAAACGACGUCUAAUGCCGAAUACGACCUCCUUUCGCAUGAUCGGAGGUGGAAAGCUCCGGCGGAGAAGGAUGAGCUCGCGGCCUAUCAGCUAGUUGGUGUGGGUAAUGGCCCACCAAGGCGACGAUGGGUAGCCGGCCUGAGAGGGUGACCGGCCACACUGGGACUGAGACACGGCCCAGACUCCGUACGGGAGCAG
This 233-nucleotide ribosomal RNA is filed under the name uncultured bacterium. RNAcentral's name for it is "partial 16S ribosomal RNA". It matches the Rfam family "Bacterial small subunit ribosomal RNA", at positions 118 to 347 of the family's 1533-position model. The record is from RNAcentral.